This 252-nucleotide ribosomal RNA is filed under the name uncultured bacterium. RNAcentral's name for it is "partial 16S ribosomal RNA". It matches the Rfam family "Bacterial small subunit ribosomal RNA", at positions 524 to 776 of the family's 1533-position model. The record is from RNAcentral.
UACGUAGGGAGCGAGCGUUAUCCGGAUUUAUUGGGCGUAAAGCGUGUGUAGGCGGUUUAUUAAGUAUAAGAUAAAAGCCUGGGGCUCAACUCCAGUUCGUCUUAUAAACUGAUAGACUUGAGUAUGGUAGAGGCAAAUGGAAUUUCUAGUGUAGCGGUAAAAUGCGUAGAUAUUAGAAGGAACAUCAGUGGCGAAGGCGAUUUGCUGGGCCAUUACUGACGCUGAGACACGAAAGCGUGGGGAGCAAAUAGG